Molecule: non-coding RNA, 76 nt
Organism: Cordylochernes scorpioides
Lineage: Eukaryota; Metazoa; Arthropoda; Arachnida; Pseudoscorpiones; Chernetidae
Source: the annotation of a GenBank genome assembly
UUCCCACAUAGGGAAGCGAACCCAGGCCUCCUGAGUGAAAACCAGAUAUCCUAGCCACUAGACCAUGUGGCCUGGA